This 547-nucleotide ribosomal RNA is filed under the name uncultured bacterium. RNAcentral's name for it is "bacterial SSU rRNA". It matches the Rfam family "Bacterial small subunit ribosomal RNA", at positions 355 to 896 of the family's 1533-position model. The record is from RNAcentral.
UGGGGAAUAUUGCGCAAUGGGGGGAACCCUGACGCAGCCAUGCCGCGUGAAUGAAGAAGGCCUUCGGGUUGUAAAGUUCUUUCGGUAUUGAGGAAGGUUGAUGUGUUAAUAGCACAUCAAAUUGACGUUAAAUACAGAAGAAGCACCGGCUAACUCCGUGCCAGCAGCCGCGGUAAUACGGAGGGUGCGAGCGUUAAUCGAAAUAACUGGGCGUAAAGGGCACGCAGGCGGUUAUUUAAGUGAGGUGUGAAAGCCCCGGGCUUAACCUGGGAAUUGCAUUUCAGACUGGGUAACUAGAGUACUUUAGGGAGGGGUAGAAUUCCACGUGUAGCGGUGAAAUGCGUAGAGAUGUGGAGGAAUACCGAAGGCGAAGGCAGCCCCUUGGGAAUGUACUGACGCUCAUGUGCGAAAGCGUGGGGAGCAAACAGGAUUAGAUACCCUGGUAGUCCACGCUGUAAACGCUGUCGAUUUGGGGGUUGGGGUUUAACUCUGGCGCCCGUAGCUAACGUGAUAAAUCGACCGCCUGGGGAGUACGGCCGCAAGGUUA